Molecule: ribosomal RNA, 258 nt
Filed under: uncultured bacterium
Lineage: Bacteria
Description: partial 16S ribosomal RNA
Rfam family: Bacterial small subunit ribosomal RNA
Source: RNAcentral
ACAUGCAAGUCGAACGAGAUCUUCGGAUCUAGUGGCGCACGGGUGCGUAACGCGUGGGAAUCUGCCCUUAGGUACGGAAUAACUCACCGAAAGGUGUGCUAAUACCGUAUGAUGUCUUCGGACCAAAGAUUUAUCGCCUAAGGAUGAGCCCGCGUUGGAUUAGCUUGUUGGUGAGGUAAAAGCUCACCAAGGCGACGAUCCAUAGCUGGUCUGAGAGGAUGAUCAGCCACACUGGGACUGAGACACGGCCCAGACUCC